AUACGUUUUCCUCAACUUGUUUUUACAGACGUUUUUAAUUAUGAAACCUAAUAUUUGCCAAAUAUGUUAAUUUGGCUGGACUAAUAUUUCAAGUUUGGUGUUUGACAUGAAUGUAUUUACACAGGUUUCCUUCAGGUUUGCAAAUAAAUGAUUACACGGAGUGAUGACAGUGGAACACCACAAUAUUUUCCCCAAUUAACCCAUUUGUAGCCUUAUGUUGUGAAAUAAUUUUUACCUUUUUACGAGGAACCUACACAUGCACACACACACAAUUCUAAAAAUUCCUCAGUGUGAUGUAUUAUACAGAUUUAUAACUGCUCAAGAGUUAUGACUGCAAUUAACAAGCAUUAAAAUGCACAAAACGUGCGUGGUGAUAAUUGGAGUCUUGGGACCAGUCCGUCUCUGUUCAAAUAUCCUGCCCUGUGUUCUCCGAAUCAGAUCCCUCUUCAUUACACAACAAACUCAGGGUCGAAGGAACUCCCCGGACACAGGAUGACACGCCAUUACCAUCUUCUGCCAUAGAUUUGUGUCGUUAUUACUUCUAAUUAGACACUUUUUGUGGGUUUUUAAUAUGCUAACAAUGUUUGAAUUAUUACGAUAAGAGAUGCUUUUAUUGUGAUCUUUGCAAAGAAAUUAUACAGCAAGUGUUUGCUAGAAUGUUAACUCAUUGGUGAAGGCUGCAGCAAAAGCUAGCCAAACAUAUUUAACUGGUCGAAAUUAAAGUGUUUUUUGAACCAGGCCUAUGCACUUGAUUUGCACAUUUCCGGCUCGCACACCGGAGUCUAGGAUUGAUCUGUCUCCCCAUGAUUUCAACAGUCACUAAAAACCUUGAAAGAAAAUGUGUAUGGAGAGUGUCCACACAUGGUUAAAAAAAUGCCAAAGAUUAUGUAGUUGACAGUCAAAGCAAUUGAAUGGUAGCAGAAACAGACUGGUACCCUUGUUAGCUAAAUGCCCUUAUUAAGUAUAUUCUUGUGUCAUUAUCAUAAUAAUUUGCUAAGAAAUGUUUUGCAAAACUUUAUGCUAUAGCAAAAAUCUUGCUUCAAAGUCCAGGUUAUUCAUUUCGUUUAAAGGCUACUGUAUGUAAUUGUCCACCUCUCACC
This is a long non-coding RNA of Esox lucius (northern pike), 1100 nucleotides long. NCBI's taxonomy places the organism in Eukaryota, Metazoa, Chordata, Actinopteri, Esociformes, Esocidae. The record is from Ensembl.